GAGGGCUCUAUGAGAGGAGGGAAGGGCAUCAAACAGCCUAAGUAUCUAAACUAAAUGGGGAAAUUCAAACUGAAUUCCCCCUUUGGCAUACCAUAGUGCACCCCUAGUCCAGAAG
Molecule: long non-coding RNA, 115 nt
Organism: Pipistrellus kuhlii (Kuhl's pipistrelle)
Lineage: Eukaryota; Metazoa; Chordata; Mammalia; Chiroptera; Vespertilionidae
Exons: 3
Source: RefSeq, a predicted model, not a curated record